Long non-coding RNA from Bubalus bubalis (water buffalo), 610 nucleotides. RefSeq lists it as uncharacterized. Lineage: Eukaryota; Metazoa; Chordata; Mammalia; Artiodactyla; Bovidae. The transcript is spliced from 3 exons. The record is from RefSeq and is a predicted model, not a curated record.
AGAGGAGGAGACUGUCUCCUGGCUGCACAGAUACAGCUCGGAGGAGGUUUGCAUCCCUGGUAACCCUUCACAGGACCUGCUGCGGGGAGCUGAGUGGUUUAUAUCUGGUAAGCCUGGGCCAAGAGGCAGCGUUUAAGGGGCCGAUGACUCAUCCAGAACCAGCUCCAUUUUUCGUGUGGAGGAGAGCCUUGAUGGGCGCUGGAGGCUAACUGCACGGCGCUAGGAGCGAUGCAGCCGCUGUAAUUCCUGUCACCUCUAACGACGCAGUGGGAGCUUCCGGGGGAUCAUGCCAGGCGUUCGGGGGCCGUCUGCAUUCUUGCCUAAUAAGUUGUCUCCAGUUGCGGAGAAAGUUGCUAUUAAAGACCUGAUGGGAAGCAGCAACUCAGAACAGCCCAGCUCAUCUCAGGACGAGACUGUCUUUCCUAACAGUUUCCGGGAACGACAUCGCCACUGGGCCUGGAUAUUCCAGCUUUUGGGGGCGGGGCGGGGGGAGUCUCCCUGUGGCCCUCUCCUGGGAACCUGGGGGCUGGCCUGCGUUCACCCCUUUACUUAGGAAGUGUAACCCUUAGAGAUCGGAAGAAACCUGGGAAUAAGACAAUUCAAUAAAGUC